This is a long non-coding RNA of Triticum dicoccoides, 518 nucleotides long. RefSeq lists it as uncharacterized. The record is from RefSeq and is a predicted model, not a curated record. The transcript has 2 exons. NCBI's taxonomy places the organism in Eukaryota, Viridiplantae, Streptophyta, Magnoliopsida, Poales, Poaceae.
CUUUUGUGUAAGUGUGGAGUUUGAUGGUUAUCCUGUUGUGGUCUCAUCUUUCCUGCAUUUCUCCAACCUGGUGGCCAUCAUGGUCAUGGUCUGCGACUUUGUUAUGUGGGCUGCUGCUGGCGUGUUGAUGUUGAGCAUCAGCUACAACUCCAAAACCCAUGGACUUUGCAAUGCAAUGACUUAUUCAGCCGGAGCAGUAUGCCAAAGAUGCCUAUCUUGAUGUUUAGUUGCGAUUUUGCUUUGAGACGCCAACACACUGACCGAAGGAUCUCGAUGGUGCCGAGUGUAGUCGAGGACGCGAAGUUGCAGUUCUGGACAUGGUAUCCGUAGUUUACCAAGAUGUACAUUCUUACCACCAUACAGAUUCUUGCACUAGUAAAUAGUACAUUUGCUCGCUGAGACGAUUUCUGUACAUUAUUUCUUCUUCUUCUUCAUGAAUGUAAUUUUUUAAUGAACAUGACAACUUCAUUCUUUGUUGGAUAAAAUUGUACUACCAUAAUGCAUGCGAUUCUUCUCAA